UGGUAAAACAGUCUCAUAUUUUUACUCUGUAGUAAAUUAUACCAACAAACCUAAUCCAACACCGUUGGAAAUGCUACACAAUUAUACAGAAGUCAGCUAGCUGCUAGUCUUACGUGCUUUCAAAACCGAAAGAGUGGCCACCUUUUGAAUUCACAGGAGUUUGGAACUUCGUACCUAAGGUGCAAACCAAAUUAACUGCCAAAACGACAGGUAAGAAACUAAUAAUUCUUUUAUGUUUCUCACCAUUUCAAAUACAUUCGAAAAUUAAAAAAUAAUAUCAUAAUUCAGAAAUUUAGCAUUACGAUUGUACGAUUGAUUGAAUGCACAUCUAAUUGCAAAUGCAUAUACAGGAUGCUUGCAUAUUUAACAUGCGGUAAAUUAUUACUCGACUGUAUGUUUUGCAAGUGGAAAUUUAGACAGUAAUAUCAUAAGGGAUAUACUUUUUACAAUUUAAAUCCCCAACAAAUUAUUAACCAAUCGGUUCUUGUCCACAUACACAAAGAGUAUACGCUCACAACAAGAGGCAUUGAAGUCAACAGACCUCUUCUGUCUGGGCGCGUAUGCGUAUUUAUACAUCCCACAAAGCCAAAUGUACGCGAUCCAAAAUUUGCCUUAUUAUUCAUCUGACAAUUUAAAAUUAAAGUGACCACUUAAAUGGCAUUACAAAAAUAAAAGGCAGAGAUAGAAAUGAAAUUUUGUUAUAUAUAGGACCACGUCAAGGGUAUUAGGAGAAAGAAGAUUUUUGGAUACCACAUAAACCAGUUCUAGAGAAUAACUUGAUUGAAAAUGAGGGACGAAAGAUACCAAAGGGAUUGAUUGAAUGUUGUUUGCUUAUCGUCCAGCGACAAAUAUUUUAUGCAUGUUCAGAACGAGAGAGUACCCCUGAUGAAUUUAAAAUAGUACAGGAAGGGAUAGCUAAUUUAAAAGAGAAUGAGAGAUGCAUUUAGCGCACAGCGACAGUUGUCGGGAAUUAAAUUUAACGGGACAUAAAAUCAAAAAUGAAAAGAUUGAGGUAUCAAGUAUAUUGUCAAAAUGAUAAGCCGAUAACUGAAUGUUCGAUACUUUUAAUGAAAACAAGUUCAGUUGACUAUUAUAUGUAAUAUUGCUGAAAAAAAAAAUCUAUUUAUGUCUGUGCAUCAUUGUUGCAUUGCAUUGGUCAUUCAAUUUUAAUUUCAUUCUCAUUUUCAACGCUAUCAUAUACUAGAUAUAUGUAAUGUAAUAUACAAUAUGGAAGUAGUCUAUUCUAUAGAACUCGUCAAUCGAUAAAUCUAUAUCUAUGUCAUAAUUACCAUAAUAGUCCCAGAUGGCUAAUUGUCGUCUAACUAGUGAAGUGAAUUAUCAGAUACUAAAUACCUUUUAUUAGUUAAUUAUAAUAUAAGCAUACCUGUAAGUAAGCUUAUAGUUGAAGUGUACAUGUCGAAUUUCUAGAAUAACAACCAAAACAUUAAUAUUACAAACUCAAGUUUCAUGUAGACACAUUAAUAAAACAUAUUUACACAGCAUCAAUCUCAUUAGUAUUCGAAAAAUUUAAACGUAUAAUUGCUCCGAAAGAGUUUUUUUAACAUUAGUUGUGACAAACAGGUUUUUCAACAAUAAAACGGCAUCAACCCAAAAAGGAAAACACUGAAAAAUGCCCGAAACCCGAAAAAUGUAGACUCGUGUGUCCAUGAAUCAAUAAUAUUCUCAUUAUACAACCGAUUGCCUGUACAUGUAUAGAUGAUGCGGAAAACAUAUUUUAUUUAUUUAUUAACAGAAUGUAUUUAUUUUUCGCAGAUUAAUUAAACUAUUAGACUCUUUGCCGUUAUUAGUACAUUU
Molecule: long non-coding RNA, 1815 nt
Filed under: Mytilus galloprovincialis (Mediterranean mussel)
Lineage: Eukaryota; Metazoa; Mollusca; Bivalvia; Mytilida; Mytilidae
Source: RNAcentral